RNAcentral lists this transfer RNA (85 nucleotides) under Alphaproteobacteria bacterium ADurb.BinA280. RNAcentral describes it as "tRNA-Leu". It matches the Rfam family "tRNA". Rfam says of the family: Transfer RNA (tRNA) molecules are approximately 80 nucleotides in length. Their secondary structure includes four short double-helical elements and three loops (D, anti-codon, and T loops). The record is from RNAcentral. RNAcentral also lists the same sequence under 2 other names. Lineage: Bacteria; Pseudomonadati; Pseudomonadota; Alphaproteobacteria.
GCCCAGGUGGUGGAAUUGGUAGACACACUAUCUUGAGGGGGUAGCGGCGUAAGCUGUGCGGGUUCGAGUCCCGCCCUGGGCACCA